UUUACGGAUUGCCACUUACCUC
Molecule: non-coding RNA, 22 nt
Filed under: Arabidopsis thaliana (thale cress)
Lineage: Eukaryota; Viridiplantae; Streptophyta; Magnoliopsida; Brassicales; Brassicaceae
Source: RNAcentral